GAACUGAAGAGUUUGAUCCUGGCUCAGAUUGAACGCUGGCGGCAUGCCUUACACAUGCAAGUCGAACGGAAACAGGUCAAGCUGUCGAGUGGCGAACGGGUGAGUAAUACAUCGGAACGUGCCCAGUAGUGGGGGAUAGCCCGGCGAAAGCCGGAUUAAUACCGCAUACGACCUACGGGUGAAAGCGGGGGACCGCAAGGCCUCGCGCUGUUGGAGCGGCCGAUGUCAGAUUAGGUAGUUGGUGGGGUAAAAGCCUACCAAGCCGACGAUCUGUAGCUGGUCUGAGAGGACGACCAGCCACACUGGGACUGAGACACGGCCCAGACUCCUACGGGAGGCAGCAGUGGGGAAUUUUGGACAAUGGGCGCAAGCCU
This 374-nucleotide ribosomal RNA is filed under the name Burkholderiales bacterium. RNAcentral's name for it is "bacterial SSU rRNA". It matches the Rfam family "Bacterial small subunit ribosomal RNA", at positions 1 to 384 of the family's 1533-position model. The record is from RNAcentral. Lineage: Bacteria; Pseudomonadati; Pseudomonadota; Betaproteobacteria; Burkholderiales.